RNAcentral lists this microRNA precursor (90 nucleotides) under Chlorocebus sabaeus (green monkey). RNAcentral's name for it is "miRNA (ENSCSAG00000022447.1)". The record is from RNAcentral. Lineage: Eukaryota; Metazoa; Chordata; Mammalia; Primates; Cercopithecidae.
GUUAUUAUUAGGUUGGUGCAAAAGUAAUUGCGAGUUUUGCCAUUUAAAAGUAGUGGCAAAAGCCACAGUUACUUUUGCAUCAACCUAAUA